RNAcentral lists this transfer-messenger RNA (386 nucleotides) under Saprospiraceae bacterium. It matches the Rfam family "transfer-messenger RNA". From Rfam's summary of the family: Bacterial tmRNA, also known as 10Sa RNA or SsrA, is named for its dual tRNA and mRNA-like properties. Its role is to liberate the mRNA from a stalled ribosome. Lineage: Bacteria; Pseudomonadati; Bacteroidota; Saprospiria; Saprospirales; Saprospiraceae. The record is from RNAcentral.
GGGGCUGACUGGAAUCGACAGGAAAGAUUAUUUGUUAGUAAGCACGUCGGAGCAGAAUCGCUCACUCCGUUAACAAAUGGUGAUUAACAACUUUCAAAUGGCAAUCACAGAUUCGCCAUGGCAGCCUAAUUCUAGGAAUUAGAAUGCUUUUGUGCCGUGCGUUUGACACCUAAUACACAACGUGCCGCAUAUCAACCCGCUCGAAAGAGCAUUUAGGUUAGCUGCGUAGGAGGUCUCGACUACAAUGCGAAAUUCAGAGAAUAAGCCGGUGAUAAUUAGGUGGGUUUCUCCCUAUUCAUCGGACGAAAAUUAAAUGGAAAAUAAGCGUGUAGAAAGCUCUCAGAUGCUUUGUCUGGACCCGGGUUCAACUCCCGGCAGCUCCACUA